GCCCGGUUAGCUCAGUUGGUAGAGCAUCAGGCUUUUAAUCUGAGGACCAUGUGUUCGAGUCCCAUAUCGGGCU
RNAcentral lists this transfer RNA (73 nucleotides) under Paramuricea clavata. It matches the Rfam family "tRNA". Rfam says of the family: Transfer RNA (tRNA) molecules are approximately 80 nucleotides in length. Their secondary structure includes four short double-helical elements and three loops (D, anti-codon, and T loops). Further hydrogen bonds mediate the characteristic L-shaped molecular structure. tRNAs have two regions of fundamental functional importance: the anti-codon, which is responsible for specific mRNA codon recognition, and the 3' end, to which the tRNAs corresponding amino acid is attached (by aminoacyl-tRNA synthetases). tRNAs cope with the degeneracy of the genetic code in two manners: having more than one tRNA (with a specific anti-codon) for a particular amino acid; and 'wobble' base-pairing, i.e. permitting non-standard base-pairing at the 3rd anti-codon position. Lineage: Eukaryota; Metazoa; Cnidaria; Anthozoa; Malacalcyonacea; Plexauridae. The record is from Rfam by way of RNAcentral.